This 460-nucleotide ribosomal RNA is filed under the name uncultured bacterium. RNAcentral's name for it is "partial 16S ribosomal RNA". It matches the Rfam family "Bacterial small subunit ribosomal RNA", at positions 338 to 795 of the family's 1533-position model. The record is from RNAcentral.
CCUACGGGAGGCAGCAGUGAGGAAUAUUGGUCAAUGGACGCAAGUCUGAACCAGCCAUGCCGCGUGCAGGAAGACGGCCCUAUGAGUUGUAAACUGCUUUUGUACGAGGGUAAACGCAGAUACGCGUAUCUUUCUGAAAGUAUCGUACGAAUAAGGAUCGGCUAACUCCGUUCCAGCAGCCGCGGUAAUACGGAGGAUUCAAGCGUUAUCCGGAUUUAUUGGGUUUAAAGGGUGCGUAGGCGGUCGGAUAAGUUAGAGGUGAAAUCCCGAGGCUCAACUUCGGAAUUGCCUCUGAUACUGUUCGGCUAGAGAGUAGUAGCGGUAGGCGGAAUGUAUGGUGUAGCGGUGAAAUGCUUAGAGAUCAUACAGAACACCGAUUGCGAAGGCAGCUUACCAAGCUAAUUCUGACGUUGAGGCACGAAAGCGUGGGGAGCAAACAGGAUUAGAUACCCCUGUAGUC